GGGAGCAGCUCAGCUGGGCCUCGCCUCCAGGGAGGGGCAAGGACACUCCCCAGAGCUCAGCCCUCGGCACUUUACCCCAGGGCAGGCGCCUUUCCCGGGAGGGAAGGCCAGGCCCUCUGGGUCACUAGGAAUCCCUCCCCGGACAGGGGCUGGGCUGGGCUGGGCAGCAGCUGCCUUUGUGAAGGAGCCUGGGACCCGCCGGUUAUCUUAGCUGAUGGAAAGCUGUUUGGAGGAUGUGCAGAGAACGAAGGGAAGCCACCUAGGACAUCACCCAGGCCUCUGAGGACAACUUCUCCAGUUCCUACUUGCAGAGUUACCGUAAAGAGCAAAUAAGCUCACAUCGGGCAGUGCCCUCGGAGAGCAGUCCAGUGCUGUGUGGGCAUGUAGGAUGGUCUCCGUGUCUGAACAUGGAGCGGCCAGCCCAGAUACAAUCUGACGACUGAGUCCUCAGAAGCCCCCAGGGAGAUGGGUUUCCUAACUCUGCCAUCAUAACAGUAGGUCCAGGAAAAAAGACCAUGGGAAAACGAAAGAGUGCUGUUGGAGAGUGAAAAGUGUAAGCACUGCCGUAAUGGGCCUGUAAGACCGACUUGUUAGCUGACGCCACCUGGGAGAAGAGGCUUUGAGACACAGAGCAGGAUCAGCGGGAUCACAUCCAGGACUUCAUGCUGAAUGUCAGUAAGUGUUCAGUGUUUGGAACUGCCUGCUCAUCCUGACUUGGAAGCAAGUUUAUUUAUUCAGCAUAAAAGGAAGUAUUUGAACUCACAGAGUGUGAUUCUCUGCAACUUUUAAAAGCAGCAAGACUGGGCAGACAACUUUUAGGACAAUAAGACAUAUUUCUCUGUUCUGAAUAUUUUUUGCUAUCUUAACUAAAUUCUAUCUAUGUAGGAGCUCAACAAUAAAAAUGACUUAGUUUUGGCUAAUACAGGUAAUAAUUUAGAUGACAAAAAUGAGCCUGUUUUGUUUUUUUUUUUUGCCUAAAAUUCCGUCUGUUGUCUUCUCCAUUCAACUGUUUCAUUUUUGAACCAUUCUUUUGUGAAACGGAACAUGUAAACAACAUUUUCAUGAAUAUCACCAUAUCACCUAGGUGAAUAGAAUAAACUCUACCCAACCCACUCUUAGUUCUUUGCCUUGGUGUAUUAGAUCUAGCUGGCCUUUUGGAAUGAAAGAUUUGCAUAAAAUCAGGCAAAAGCAAAAUGGAACUGUCCUUUGCUGACUGGCAGGCACAG
Bos taurus (domestic cattle) is the source of this 1226-nucleotide long non-coding RNA. Lineage: Eukaryota; Metazoa; Chordata; Mammalia; Artiodactyla; Bovidae. The record is from Ensembl.